This 467-nucleotide ribosomal RNA is filed under the name uncultured bacterium. RNAcentral describes it as "partial 16S ribosomal RNA". It matches the Rfam family "Bacterial small subunit ribosomal RNA", at positions 28 to 507 of the family's 1533-position model. The record is from RNAcentral.
GACGAACGCUGGCGGCGUGCUUAACACAUGCAAGUCGAACGGAAAGGCCUCUUUCGGGGGGUACUCGAGUGGCGAACGGGUGAGUAACACGUGAGUAACCUGCCCUUGACUUUGGGAUAACUUCAGGAAACUGGGGCUAAUACCGGAUAGGAGCUCCUGCUGCAUGGUGGGGGUUGGAAAGUUUCGGCGGUUGGGGAUGGACUCGCGGCUUAUCAGCUUGUUGGUGGGGUAGUGGCUUACCAAGGCUUUGACGGGUAGCCGGCCUGAGAGGGUGACCGGCCACAUUGGGACUGAGAUACGGCCCAGACUCCUACGGGAGGCAGCAGUGGGGAAUAUUGCACAAUGGGUGGAAGCCUGAUGCAGCAACGCCGUGUGCGGGAUGACGGCCUUCGGGUUGUAGACCGCUUUCGCUCAUGACGAAGCUUUGUGUGACGGUAGUGGGUAAAGAAGCACCGGCUAACUACGUG